RNAcentral lists this ribosomal RNA (449 nucleotides) under uncultured bacterium. RNAcentral describes it as "partial 16S ribosomal RNA". It matches the Rfam family "Bacterial small subunit ribosomal RNA", at positions 29 to 523 of the family's 1533-position model. The record is from RNAcentral.
AACGAACGCUGGCGGUAUGCCUAACACAUGCAAGUCGAACGAGAUCUUCGGGUCUAGUGGCGCACGGGUGCGUAACGCGUGGGAAUCUGCCCUUUGGUUCGGAAUAACAGUUGGAAACGGCUGCUAAUACCGGAUGAUGACGAAAGUCCAAAGAUUUAUCGCCAGAGGAUGAGCCCGCGUAGGAUUAGCUAGUUGGUGUGGUAAAGGCGCACCAAGGCGACGAUCCUUAGCUGGUCUGAGAGGAUGAUCAGCCACACUGGGACUGAGACACGGCCCAGACUCCUACGGGAGGCAGCAGUGGGGAAUAUUGGACAAUGGGCGAAAGCCUGAUCCAGCAAUGCCGCGUGAGUGAUGAAGGCCUUAGGGUUGUAAAGCUCUUUUACCCGGGAUGAUAAUGACAGUACCGGGAGAAUAAGCUCCGGCUAACUCCGUGCCAGCAGCCGCCGUAA